This 459-nucleotide ribosomal RNA is filed under the name uncultured bacterium. RNAcentral's name for it is "partial 16S ribosomal RNA". It matches the Rfam family "Bacterial small subunit ribosomal RNA", at positions 338 to 795 of the family's 1533-position model. The record is from RNAcentral.
CCUACGGGAGGCAGCAGUGAGGAAUAUUGGUCAAUGGGCGCGAGCCUGAACCAGCCAAGUCGCGUGAGGGAAGACGGUCCUAUGGAUUGUAAACCUCUUUUGUCGGGGAGCAAACGACGCCACGCGUGGCGUUCCGAGAGUACCCGAAGAAAAAGCAUCGGCUAACUCCGUGCCAGCAGCCGCGGUAAUACGGAGGAUGCGAGCGUUAUCCGGAUUUAUUGGGUUUAAAGGGUGCGCAGGCGGAAGAUCAAGGCAGCGGUAAAAUUGAGAGGCUCAACCUCUUCGAGCCGUUGAAACUGGUGUUCUUGAGUGAGCGAGAAGUAUGCGGAAUGCGUGGUGUAGCGGUGAAAUGCAUAGAUAUCACGCAGAACUCCGAUUGCGAAGGCAGCAUACCGGCGCUCAACUGACGCUCAUGCACGAAAGUGUGGGUAUCGAACAGGAUUAGAUACCCCUGUAGUC